GAAGAGGUGGCCGAGUGGUCCAAGGCGCCGCAAGCCUGUGCUAGUCCAGUUUGAUUCUCUCCGAGUCAACUAUUCUGCGGUCUGUUCUAAGGACAGUCGUGGGUUCAAAUCCCUCCCUCUUCU
Molecule: transfer RNA, 123 nt
Filed under: Linnemannia schmuckeri
Lineage: Eukaryota; Fungi; Mortierellomycota; Mortierellomycetes; Mortierellales; Mortierellaceae
Description: Mortierella schmuckeri tRNA
Rfam family: tRNA
About the family: Transfer RNA (tRNA) molecules are approximately 80 nucleotides in length.
Source: Rfam by way of RNAcentral